UACAGAGGGGGCAAGCGUUAUCCGGAAUUAUUGGGCGUAAAGCGUCCGCAGGUGGCUGUUCAAGUCUGCUGUCAAAGCGCAGAGCUUAACUCUGUACAGGCGGUGGAAACUGAAGAGCUAGAGUAUGGUAGGGGUAGAGGGAAUUCCCGGUGUAGCGGUGAAAUGCGUAGAUAUCGGGAAGAACACCAGUGGCGAAAGCGCUCUACUGGGCCAUAACUGACACUGAGGGACGAAAGCUAGGGGAGCGAAAGGG
RNAcentral lists this ribosomal RNA (253 nucleotides) under uncultured bacterium. RNAcentral describes it as "partial 16S ribosomal RNA". It matches the Rfam family "Bacterial small subunit ribosomal RNA", at positions 524 to 776 of the family's 1533-position model. The record is from RNAcentral.